This 201-nucleotide ribosomal RNA is filed under the name uncultured bacterium. RNAcentral describes it as "partial 16S ribosomal RNA". It matches the Rfam family "Bacterial small subunit ribosomal RNA", at positions 328 to 539 of the family's 1533-position model. The record is from RNAcentral.
ACGCUCGACACCUACUGGAGGCAGCAGUGGGGAAUAUUGGGCAAUGGGCGAAAGCCUGACCCAGCAACGCCGCGUGAGGGAAGAAGGUUUUCGGAUUGUAAACCUCUGUCCUCAGGGACGAAGGACGUGACGGUACCUGAGGAGGAAGCCCCGGCUAACUACGUGCCAGCAGCUGCGGUAAUCUGAGCGGGCUGGCAAGGC